AUGACGUGACGUGCCCGCACCAACGUGCUCUACGAGCUGCUGACGAUGACGACGACGACGACGACGACGACGACGACGACGGCCACGAAUACUCCGAACGCGCCGCUCGUGAUCAUCGUGACGCGACCGCAUACACAACGUGCGCCUCGCACAGUUACUACUACCGCGUUCUCGCCAGGCUAGGCCACUUUACGUCGAACAAGGCCCACUUCCCUUCCUCCUCCCCCUCCUCUUCUCCUCCUGCCGUCCUUCUCCCUCGCUCGCUGUGCGACUGAUUCAUUCUCAUCGCCGACCCCACUUCCCCCCCGCGCCUCUUCCGCUCCCACAGUCACACCACCACUGAUGUUCGCACUACUACCAUCCACCAGCGCGUCACACGGCCUUUCCCUCUCUGUCUCCCCCAGACUCUGCCACUCAACCUCGUUUUAACAUCUACGCAGGGCCGCAUGCGGAGAGUUGCCCGAUGAGACGCGACAGCUGAUCCUCGGGCUUCUUGAAUGUAUCCCCAGUGAGCUCUAUAAUAUACCGGAUUGAGCCUGAAGAAGACAGGUAAACGAAGGCUGGACUAAUCUGGCUGUGUCAGCCAGUCACAUCUGCGGCACCUUAAGUGAUACGUGCUGCUGACACAGAAUCGAUCCUACCAACAUCUAUCUGCCUUCUGAAGGCUCAUCCCAGGAUUCUACAGUGACCACCGAAUAAUGAACGGAUGAGCUCAUCAUAACGAGAAAAGACAGCGAACCGUCCGAUCCUGCGUCUAUCGUUGUCUGAAAGAAGAUUUCACGUGUUGAGGCUCAUUCGCAUCGGGAUACGCUCCGUGGAGAAAAUUGGAAAGGGAACGGCCGCAGCAGUGGCUUACCAGUUGACUCUUACUAAAAGACACUGACUUCGAACUCGUCCGAGAUUCUGCAGGCGAGAGGAAACACGCGACCACAUCGGGGCUUCCUGUACGAACGACGAAUUUCUACGGCGCGAUUUCGACGACUCGACGGGGGUUCGUAGCACGUCGCGACCUUAUUAUUGUAAUUCCAUUCCUAGAAGCAGGAGACACGUAGAAGCACGUACAUGCCGAAUAAAGUAAACGAGUAUGCGAGGACAGCGUGUGGCGUAACGUGUUGCGACGCGGGAACGCGUUCACGGAGGCACACACGCACACCGAUCUGGUUUCUGGUUAUUUCGUUUUCGCCUGACCCUCGCCUGUGUACGCGCGAAUCAGAGGCAGGAAACGAUGACGCGGCUUGAAUAAUGUGUACACGAGAGAAACCGGAAGUCGUUCAAAGGCGACGAAAAAUCCUGUGGGACGUUAGAGCAUUAUCAACGCAUGCUUCUGGAAGUGAUUCAAAGAGGAUAUUGUUUUUCCUUAAAGAGAGAAAAAGGAGGGGGAGAUAUUUAGAAGCAUAAACGUAAAAUCAAUAAAACUUUGCCAUCGUUAA
Harpegnathos saltator (Jerdon's jumping ant) is the source of this 1430-nucleotide long non-coding RNA. RefSeq lists it as uncharacterized. NCBI's taxonomy places the organism in Eukaryota, Metazoa, Arthropoda, Insecta, Hymenoptera, Formicidae. The transcript has 2 exons. The record is from RefSeq and is a predicted model, not a curated record.